UUCAUUCCCAAAUCCCCCUUAUGUUGGGAGCACCCGCACAGUUCGUGCGUCCGCAUCCCCCUCCUCUCCCCUUCUGUUGUCUUUUCCUCUUCUCUGAGUCACAACCUCCCUACCAUCAUCUUCUUCACCAUCAUCACCAGCUCUUUCUCGUCAAUCACCCACCUUCGCUCACAACUGCCGCGGCGAGCUCGCAGCCGCCGGCAACCUCACCUAUUCUUCUCUUUCUCUUCCCCGUUUCCCGUUCACACCCUUCUCCGCCCGCAGCUCCGCGAGCCCAGCACCACCGUCGCCUUCCGUUUUCGCAGCCCUGUUACCCAACCGCGCCGCCGCGUCCUGUCUGGCAUCCCGGCCCUCCUCUUCGCGCUACAAGUAGCGCCGCAGAGCCCCCUUUGCGUGCUCUCCGCUCCUCCGCGCCACCUCAGCCGCGACACCACAGCCCCCCUUCAUCCAUAAUCGCCGGCGAUAACCCACACCACCGCGCCCCCUUCUCUUCCCCUUUCCUUCUUCUAGCUUCCACCAAGCUCAGUGCCAUCGCGACGUUAUCCUCGCGCCUCCUCUCCCGGCCAAACCACCACCGUGAACCACCGUAGCGUCCACCGUCGACGAGCCACGGCGACCCAACCCUCUUUCCUCCCACACACGAGCUCCUUCACCCUGUUGCUCUUCACCCAAAACAGGGCAAGGCCCCUGUUUUCAUUGCUGGGCAACUCUCCGCCGCUGCCAUUGAAGCAGCGCCCACACCGCCGCACCACCAGGUCAGCUGGGUUGCUCCAGCCGUUCACUCACCAUCACCACUGUUGAAGCCACCACCUCUGGGCUGGCAUCCCUCUGCUUCCGUUUCCCCUUCUCUUGUCCCUUCCCUUUCUCUGUUCUGUUUUUGCCCUUUCAGCUCUUUCCUUUUCAGCACCACCAUCACUCUUGUAGCGACUCUAUCGCCUAACCCACUAGCUGAAGGUGGAGGUGACACAGUGACGAUUCUUUCCACUCUGCUUGAUCUGAUCACCGCGGACGGUGCUACAUUUUAAGUGUGGGGAAGUUGUCCAUCUUCAACAAGCAUAUUUGGGUGACAAUUUCAUUUCCGAACACUUGUAGUUUAGUUCUUAUUAUUAUUAUUAUGCUUUUUAGUUGCUUUGUAUAUAUUUUAUCUUUUUUUGCUUUUUACUUAGUUUAUUACUUUGUUAUGCAUAUUUUGAUAUUUUGCUCUUAAUUUUGGCUUGUACAUAUGCUUUUUGGUUGUUUGUCUUGAUUGUGAUUUGGAUGAUGUGAUGAUUACACCUAGUUUGAUUUCCUAUACACUUGCUAUUUUAGUUUGAUUGAAAUUGGGAAUUAAACUUAGGAUUUUUGACUUUUUUCAUCCAAUCACACUAUAUACAUAUAUAGAAUAAGUGUUAGUCAAUUAAUGAAAUUUCCAAGAAGCUUAUCUUUUGUAUAUAGGGCAUUGGAAAUUCGAAUUGAAUUGAGUCGAAAUUCUAUGAAACUUGCAUGAUUUAUAUAUUGUGGAAUAUGAUUUUUGAGUUAAAGAACAUACAACUUGUGAGUUUUUGAGCCUUAUUGUGUGGUUAUACCAUUUGACCACUUAUUUCAUUUUUGUGUGUUGCUCUUCUCUAAUUGCAAUCUUUGGUUUGUUUAAUUCUAUAUAUUCAUUGUUUAGUGUAUAUUUAUGCAAUUAUGUGAUUGAGGUCAUUAUUUCUUUAUAGCUCACUUAGCCCAAAAAGCCUACCAUUUCAUUCACCUUUGUUUGUCACUUUGAGCCUUUACAAUCUCCUUUUGUUCUUUAUAUUGCCACAUCACUAACCUUUAAGCAAAAAAUAAUUAAUUGUCCUAUUUGAAUCUUUGAGUAGCUUAAGGUAGUGAGAGUGUGUGAUGUUUAAGUGUGGGGAAGAUUUGGGAACAUUGGUAGAUAAAAAUGUGUUUUAUUCUUUGUUGAAAAAUAUUGGAAAUUUCGGGUACAUGCUCAUGUAAGACUAUGGAAACCAUAUGCAUUGAUGAUAGGGGUGUUCAAAACCGAUCCGAACCGAACUAAAUCGACGAACCGAACCGAAAAAACCGAGAAUCGAAUUAACC
This is a long non-coding RNA of Arachis ipaensis, 2064 nucleotides long. RefSeq lists it as uncharacterized. Lineage: Eukaryota; Viridiplantae; Streptophyta; Magnoliopsida; Fabales; Fabaceae. The record is from RefSeq and is a predicted model, not a curated record.